RNAcentral lists this unclassified non-coding RNA (253 nucleotides) under uncultured Frankiales bacterium. Its description in RNAcentral is "contains 16S-23S intergenic spacer region". It matches the Rfam family "Bacterial small subunit ribosomal RNA", at positions 524 to 776 of the family's 1533-position model. The record is from RNAcentral. Lineage: Bacteria; Bacillati; Actinomycetota; Actinomycetes; Frankiales.
UACGUAGGGCGCAAGCGUUGUCCGGAAUUAUUGGGCGUAAAGAGCUCGUAGGCGGUCUGUCACGUCGGCUGUGAAAACCUGAGGCUCAACCUCAGGCCUGCAGUCGAUACGGGCAGACUAGAGUACUGCAGGGGAGACUGGAAUUCCCGGUGUAGCGGUGGAAUGCGCAGAUAUCAGGAGGAACACCGGUGGCGAAGGCGGGUCUCUGGGCAGUAACUGACGCUGAGGAGCGAAAGCGUGGGGAGCAAACAGG